UACGGAGGGUGCAAACGUUGCUCGGAAUCAUUGGGCGUAAAGCGCGCGUAGGCGGUUACUCAAGUCGGAUGUGAAAGCCCUCGGCUUAACUGAGGAAGUGCACCCGAAACUGAGUAGCUAGAGUACCAAAGAGGGUCGCGGAAUUCCCGGUGUAGAGGUGAAAUUCGUAGAUAUCGGGAGGAACACCGGUGGCGAAGGCGGCGACCUGGGUGGAUACUGACGCUGAGGCGCGAAAGCGUGGGGAGCAAACAGG
This 253-nucleotide ribosomal RNA is filed under the name uncultured bacterium. Its description in RNAcentral is "partial 16S ribosomal RNA". It matches the Rfam family "Bacterial small subunit ribosomal RNA", at positions 524 to 776 of the family's 1533-position model. The record is from RNAcentral.